GACGAACGCUGGCGGCGUGCCUAAUACAUGCAAGUCGAGCGGACUUGAAGGAGUGCUUGCACUCCUGAGAGUUAGCGGCGGACGGGUGAGUAACACGUAGGCAACCUGCCCUCAAGACUGGGAUAACUACCGGAAACGGUAGCUAAUACCGGAUAAUUUAUUACAUAGCAUUAUGUGAUAAUGAAAGACGGAGCAAUCUGUCACUUGGGGAUGGGCCUGCGGCGCAUUAGCUAGUUGGUGGGGUAACGGCCCACCAAGGCGACGAUGCGUAGCCGACCUGAGAGGAUGAACGGCCACACUGGGACUGAGACACGGCCCAGACUCCUACGGGAGGCAGCAGUAGGGAAUCUUCCGCAAUGGGCGAAAGCCUGACGGAGCAACGCCGCGUGAGUGAUGAAGGUUUUCGGAUCGUAAAGCUCUGUUGCCAAGGAAGAACGUCUGAUAGAGUAACUGCUAUGAGAGUGACGGUACUUGAGAAGAAAGCCCCGGCUAACUACGUG
This 500-nucleotide ribosomal RNA is filed under the name uncultured bacterium. Its description in RNAcentral is "partial 16S ribosomal RNA". It matches the Rfam family "Bacterial small subunit ribosomal RNA", at positions 28 to 507 of the family's 1533-position model. The record is from RNAcentral.